CCUACGGGUGGCAGCAGUGGGGAAUAUUGCGCAAUGGGCGAAAGCCUGACGCAGCGACGCCGCGUGAGGGAUGAAGGUCUUCGGAUCGUAAACCUCUGUCAGCAGGGAAGAACGGUCACUGUGCUAAUCAGCAGUGAAUUGACGGUACCUGCAAAGGAAGCACCGGCUAACUCCGUGCCAGCAGCCGCGGUAAUACGGAGGGUGCGAGCGUUGAUCGGAAUUACUGGGCGUGAAGCGCUCGUAGGCGGUAUGUCAAGUCAAGGGUGAAAUCCCCGCGCUCAACGUGGGAACUGCCUUUGAAACUGGCAAACUGGAGUGUGUGAGAGGAUAGUGGAAUUCCAGGUGUAGGAGUGAAAUGCGUAGAUAUCUGGAGGAACAUCAGUGGCGAAGGCGACUAUCUGGCACAUAACUGACGCUGAGGAGCGAAAGCGUGGGUAGCAAACAGGAUUAGAUACCCGGGUAGUC
RNAcentral lists this ribosomal RNA (465 nucleotides) under uncultured bacterium. Its description in RNAcentral is "partial 16S ribosomal RNA". It matches the Rfam family "Bacterial small subunit ribosomal RNA", at positions 338 to 795 of the family's 1533-position model. The record is from RNAcentral.